RNAcentral lists this ribosomal RNA (478 nucleotides) under uncultured bacterium. RNAcentral's name for it is "bacterial SSU rRNA". It matches the Rfam family "Bacterial small subunit ribosomal RNA", at positions 841 to 1320 of the family's 1533-position model. The record is from RNAcentral.
CAGUGCUGCAGCAAACGCAUUAAGCACUCCGCCUGGGGAGUACGGCCGCAAGGCUGAAACUCAAAGGAAUUGACGGGGGCCCGCACAAGCGGUGGAGCAUGUGGUUUAAUUCGAAGCAACGCGAAGAACCUUACCAGGUCUUGACAUCCUUUGACCACUCUAGAGAUAGAGCUUUCCCUUCGGGGACAAAGUGACAGGUGGUGCAUGGUUGUCGUCAGCUCGUGUCGUGAGAUGUUGGGUUAAGUCCCGCAACGAGCGCAACCCUUAUUGUUAGUUGCCAUCAUUCAGUUGGGCACUCUAGCGAGACUGCCGGUGACAAACCGGAGGAAGGUGGGGAUGACGUCAAAUCAUCAUGCCCCUUAUGACCUGGGCUACACACGUGCUACAAUGGGAAGUACAACGAGUCGCAAAGUCGCGAGGCUAAGCUAAUCUCUUAAAGCUUCUCUCAGUUCGGAUUGUAGGCUGCAACUCGCGUACA